GGAGGGGUGGCCGAGUGGUCGAAGGCGCACGCCUGGAAAGUGUGUAUACCUCAAAAGGGUAUCGUGGGUUCGAAUCCCACCCCCUCCGCCA
RNAcentral lists this transfer RNA (91 nucleotides) under Phaeovibrio sulfidiphilus. Its description in RNAcentral is "tRNA-Ser". It matches the Rfam family "tRNA". From Rfam's summary of the family: Transfer RNA (tRNA) molecules are approximately 80 nucleotides in length. Their secondary structure includes four short double-helical elements and three loops (D, anti-codon, and T loops). Further hydrogen bonds mediate the characteristic L-shaped molecular structure. tRNAs have two regions of fundamental functional importance: the anti-codon, which is responsible for specific mRNA codon recognition, and the 3' end, to which the tRNAs corresponding amino acid is attached (by aminoacyl-tRNA synthetases). tRNAs cope with the degeneracy of the genetic code in two manners: having more than one tRNA (with a specific anti-codon) for a particular amino acid; and 'wobble' base-pairing, i.e. permitting non-standard base-pairing at the 3rd anti-codon position. Lineage: Bacteria; Pseudomonadati; Pseudomonadota; Alphaproteobacteria; Rhodospirillales; Rhodospirillaceae. The record is from RNAcentral.